GCUGCUAGAAAUGCUGGAAUUGCUAGAAUAGUGUCGACGCAUAAGUUUCAUGUGUCAUCGUUGUUGCUGGUGCGUGGGGCCACAUGCUACUACUUUUGGAGGUUGUAAAUUUAGUGAAUUUAAAACUUCUCUGUCUCCUCUUUGAUUCCUCAAUGGCGGUGUAGCAAAUGGAUACAUGUAGGUGGAGCUUUGCUACGUUUAAGUUUUUGUAUUCUUCCUGUUUUUCAGUCUAGAUCUACCUCUUCUCCUAAUUUCAGGGUGUUACUUCUACCAUGUCUGAAACUACUAUAUCCCCUCUUUGAUUCCCCACUAGCAGAGUCCCAAACGGACACUUGCAGAGAAUAUUCUGCUAUGUUAAACUUUUAGUCUUCUCCUUGUUUUUCAGUUUGUCUUCUCUCACUAUUGCCAAGUGUUAUUGCUCCUUCUAGAAGAAAAUCCAAUGAGGUUUGAAACUGCUACAUAUCCUCUUAGAUUCCCCACUAGCAAAAAUGCAAACGGACAUCUGUGAAGGGAGGUUGCUAUGUUGAAGUUUGAUGUCUCCUCCUGUUUUUUUUUUUUUUUCCAACGUAGAUGGUUCCUACUGCUACUGUUUGUAGCGCAAUUUUGUGAUGAUUUGAUGGCUGUCUUGUGGUGACUUGGAACUGGAUUAUUCUGGUAUGGAAAGUGGUUGUUUGGAUGGUGUUUUAGUGGCAAAGCUUUGUCUGGUUUGGGGUCUGUUUCAAGGUGUUUUGGUUGGAGUUUUCACAUAUGUCUAGAGGUGGUUUUGUGCGCUGUUUCUGGGCUGAUUUCGGGGUUUUUUUGUGGACGAUGCUUUGUGGAUGUUUGAGGGUUGUUUUAUGGUGGCUGUCAUGGGUGGAAGAUGGAGUUGUCCUGGCCGGAUGUGGGGAGGGGCUGUCACGGGUGAAGGAGGUGAAGGAGGCUGUUAUUAGUGAUGGUGGCUCACGGGUGGUACUGGGUCUUGGCUGCUGCUGGUCCCGAGAGGAAGAAAGGGAGUAGAAGUUCUAAGAAAAAAAUGAGAGGGAGAGAGGGACGGUCUUCAGCACAAAGAUGGAAGAGGACUAUCCAUUUUUGUAUCCUGUUUCCUGUGGGAGUUAUGCCUGGAAAGAUGAUGGAAGAGGCCAUGGGUCUCUAGCUAAACAGAGAAGACCACGGGCUCUUACGGUGAUACUAAUGAUAAAAAUCAGAGAGCUUCCCUCCUCUGGUUAUGCUGGUAUCAAAAGGAUGUAUCAGAGGAGUUUCCUUCCCCUUUUAUCUUUGGCUGGUCCGGACUCCCUUCAAUCAUGGGGUAAUGGUUUUCUUCUAUUUUCUUUUCAUAGGGAGAGUGGGUGCAGGUCAAAAUGGAGAAAAUGUAGAAAACUAAGGGUCUAUGACCUAAACAGUGAAGGUUUUUUUUUUUUUUCAAUUCAGUAUCUUUUUCUUUUUUUUUUCUUUUUGUCUGUUUUUCUUCUUUCAAUUUUUUCCCUUUUUUUUUCAAUGUCAUACUCAUAUUUUUUUUUAACAAACAUCCAAGUUGUCUUUAAAUUAGCCAAGUUAACUGAAUCACGUCGGAACAACUCUUACAUGAUUUAGUUUUAAACCUAUGCUAAGUAAAGAAUCAAAGGUUUUUUUUGUCAAUUUUAUUAUUUUUUCCUUAAAUUUUUCCUCAGAUUUUUUCACUCGUCGACUAGGUUUUUUUUGGACUAGUCUAAGUCUUGACAACUCUCAUGUUUUUAAAUUUUAAACCUAAAUUUGGCAAGAAGAUGUGGUGGGAUGUUUUUUCUAUCACUUUCAUCAUUUUUUUUCUCAAUUUCAUCCUUAUAAUUUUUUUGUUGGUUGGUCAGGUUGUCUAUAAAUCGACCAAGUUAACUGAGUCAUGUCAAGUCAACCUUACUCGGUUUAACUUUGACAACAUAGGUAAGAAAAACAAUAAAAAAUCAAAAGAAAAUGGACCAAAUUGAAAUCAUUAUUAUCAUUCAAAAAACAAAAACUAUUAAGUAUAAAAUUUAAAACCAUAAAAACUUUGACAAAAAGGCAAAGGAUAAAAAUAAAAAAUUAAAAGUAGAAGGACCGAAUUGAUAAACAUUAUCUAUACAAAUUAAAAGGCAAGGGUUAAAUUAAAAACAACAAAACUUUAACAAAAAAGAAAAUGAAAAAAAUACAGAAAUCAAAACCAAAAAGACCAAAUCUGAAAUACCAAUAACAACGAGGACCAUUGUGUAUUUAUCGAGUUAGGAGAGAGAAAUGAAGGGAUGAAAAGAAAGGGUCAUUGAUGAUAAAUCAGUAAUAUCUAGAUAUCAUAUGUCACUCUAAAUAAAAAAGGAGAUGAUGAGGAAUAACAUGCAAGGGAGCCCAUUUUUAAGCACCUAGAGUCGUCACAUACAUGCCGUCCAAAGUGUGAUGGCAGCUUCAACACACUAACAGAUUUUUUCAAAUUAAAAAUAUUAUUUUAAUGAUCAAUUACGUAACUACCUUUAACCAAACUAAUAAUUAACAAAAAAAUCAUGGUUGAAAGACCAUAAUACCCUUGAUCAUAAUAAAUUAGAUUUCUUGGAUCUAAGAUACAUGUGUAAUUCGAUUGUGUAUAAAAAUAAAAAUACCAAAAUACCCCUACCCGAAACCCUUUAUUUUUCUACACUUGUGACAAUAACUUAGUAAUUUUCUUCAUUUUUAUCUACUUUAGAAAAUAAUUAUAUUCAAUGAAUGAUUGUCAACAUGCAGUUUUUCAUCUAAUGCAUUACGACACAAUCAAGCAGUGUAUGUUGCACCAUGCACCUCACACCAGAAGUCUAAUUGAAGCGAAGCAUUAGAAGUUUAUACUGGCCACUCGAAGGAACAGCUAAGGUAUGUGAAAGGCUAGG
RNAcentral lists this long non-coding RNA (2837 nucleotides) under Populus trichocarpa (black cottonwood). Its description in RNAcentral is "long non-coding RNA (PTRI_LNC002875)". The record is from RNAcentral. Lineage: Eukaryota; Viridiplantae; Streptophyta; Magnoliopsida; Malpighiales; Salicaceae.